GGACCCGCACAAGUAGUGGAGCAUGUGGUUUAAUUCGAAGAUACGCGCAGAACCUUACCAACACUUGACAUGUUCGUCGCGACUUUAAGAGAUUAAAGUUUUCGGUUCGGCCGGACGAAACACAGGUGCUGCAUGGCUGUCGUCAGCUCGUGUCGUGAGAUGUUGGGUUAAGUCCCGCAACGAGCGCAACCCUCACUUUUAGUUGCCAUCAUUUAGUUGGGCACUCUGAAAGAACUGCCAGUGAUAAGCUGGAGGAAGGUGGGGAUGACGUCAAGUCCUCAUGGCCCUUACGUGUUGGGCUACACACGUGCUACAAUGGUAUAUACAACAGGAAGCAAGACGGCGACGUUAAGCAAAUCCUCAAAAGAUACCUCAGUUCGGAUUGCACUCUGCAACUCGAGUGCAUGAAGCUGGAAUUACUAGUAAUCGC
This 430-nucleotide ribosomal RNA is filed under the name uncultured bacterium. RNAcentral describes it as "bacterial SSU rRNA". It matches the Rfam family "Bacterial small subunit ribosomal RNA", at positions 917 to 1345 of the family's 1533-position model. The record is from RNAcentral.